This 1791-nucleotide unclassified non-coding RNA is filed under the name Camponotus floridanus (Florida carpenter ant). RNAcentral's name for it is "dynactin subunit 5, transcript variant X3". The record is from RNAcentral. Lineage: Eukaryota; Metazoa; Arthropoda; Insecta; Hymenoptera; Formicidae.
UCGUCAGCUGAUGGCAGUCGAGUUUCGAGUUUCAACUCGAGUGACGUUUUAACUCGAGUGACAGAAUGAAGUGAAAGAUUCCCGCCUCUUAUUAAUUACUGUUUGUAACUUGUGGAACAAUCGAUUGAUUGAGGCAUUGUUUGCUUGUAGGUUAAACAUUAAACAACAUACGAUUGUCAUACAAGAAUACGAAAUGGAGCCGCAGGAUAUUUAUUAUAACAAAGCCGAAUACGUUGAAACGGCUUCAGGAAAUAAAGUGAGCAGGCUGACAGUACUGUGCGGUUCACAGAAUAUUGUAUUGCAUGGAAAAGUGAUAGUGCAAUCCGAUGCUAUCAUUAGGGGUGAUCUGGCCAAUGUCAGGACUGGUCGCUAUUGCAUAAUCAGCAAGAAUGCGGUCAUUCGACCGCCUUUUAAGAAAUUUAGUAGAGGGGUUGCCUUUUUUCCCUUAACAAUGGGAAACCAUGUGUUUGUGGGAGAGCGGGCCAUUGUAAAUGCAGCACUGGUUGGUUCUUACGUUUAUAUAGGGAAAAAUGCCAUAAUCGGCAGACGAUCAGUCUUAAAAGAUUGUUGCUACAUCGAAGACGGUGCGGUUGUGCCACCUGAGACUAUCGUGCCAUCUUUCACUCGUUAUGCUGGUAGCCCAGCAACAUGUAUCGAAGAGUUACCCGAGUGUACGUUGGAUCUCAUGAUAGACUUUACGAAGAACUAUUACGAACAUUUCUUACCGGCACGAGUUUAAGAGAUAUAUUUGUCCAGGAAUAUACGUGUGGUAGCCUACAAUUUUAAAAGAAUCUAAGACAGUGAAUAAUUGUCGUUGGAGUAUAUCAUGACUAUUUUUGUGAUCAUCUUCGUACAUUUCUUCGACUUAAUGAUGUCGUCCAUAAUGCAGAUUCUUGAUGAGAUGUCAUUACCAUACAUAAUCUUAUAAAAAUACCUAUUACAAGAAACAUUCUCUCUUCUUCACCCAAAUUGAAGGUAUAGAUUUUAAUGAUAUUAGUAUCAAGAAAAUUGAAUCUUGGAGAGCAAAUCGUGAAAAAGUAUAGGAAAGGUCGCUAUUACUUUUCUGUGUGUAACAGUACUUCGGUUAAUACAGAGAAUACUAUUAUCUCAUUCCCGAAUAAUAAUGGUUUAAUGGUAAGAAAAUUCUUUGGUUCCCAAAAAAUGAUUUGAUUGAUUCGAAUGAUUUAUUUGAUUGCCCCUAAUAUGAAAAGCCAUCUAGCAAUAGCACUUCUGCUAUUAAAUCCCGAUAAUCCGUUCCAUCUUUGUACUCAACAAAACAUUUACAGUAAUUACCAAAUUCUUACAAAUAUCCGAAAUAAUAUAUUUGGCAAUUCGGAUAUAUAUAAUAAUGUGUAGUAAUAUAAAUAUUCUGUUAGUUUUUUUACCUAGAUUCAAUUUAGUGAGUUCAAAUUAAUCUUGCUUAGAAUAUAGAUGCGAUUAACAGCAAAAUCAAGUAGAAAUAUAUUAAUCGUCGCGCUAUAGAAAAUGUGUAAUGUAACAGCAGGAGAAAUAGUAGAUGCAAUUGACAUGUUUAACAGGAUCGGCUCCGCAAGAUGAUAUCAAUAUUCUAAUAUGCUCGAAUGUUUCUUAAAGAUAAGAUUCCGGUAAUUGAUUCGAAACAAAUUCGUUAACUAUAAUAGACAAUACGUAUUUAUUAUAUUAUUAAUACAAAAAACUCAAACGUACUUGAAUGUACGUUCCAUCAAAUUUAGAGAAUUUUGGAGUAGUAGUCACUACAAUGCUUGCAAUUCAUAUUCUUUGUCCUUCAGUUUUACUCAUUUGACUUCAGUA